Long non-coding RNA from Rhagoletis pomonella (apple maggot), 211 nucleotides. RefSeq lists it as uncharacterized. Lineage: Eukaryota; Metazoa; Arthropoda; Insecta; Diptera; Tephritidae. The record is from RefSeq and is a predicted model, not a curated record. The transcript has 3 exons.
CUUACUUUCACGUUAGAGAUGAUUCCAGCUACAUUCAUACAUAUGUAUGUAUGUAAAGCAUUCGCUUCUUCAGCAAAAGGGUGCGGAAAUAUGAUAUCGUUACGCCACUUAAUGAAGGGAACGUUGAUUAGAGAAAAGCUUUGGAUCUAACCAGCGUUAAUCAAAAUUAUCAAGGCCCGUGGAGGAAAAGCCAGAAUAUGUACAUAUCUUU